RNAcentral lists this ribosomal RNA (252 nucleotides) under uncultured bacterium. RNAcentral's name for it is "partial 16S ribosomal RNA". It matches the Rfam family "Bacterial small subunit ribosomal RNA", at positions 524 to 776 of the family's 1533-position model. The record is from RNAcentral.
UACAGAGGUCCCGAGCGUUGUUCGGAUUUAUUGGGCGUAAAGGGUGCGUAGGUGGCAAAGUAAGUUGGAUGUGAAAUCCUGGGGCUUAACCUCAGAAUUGCAUUCAAUACUGCUUAGCUAGAGAGCUGUAGAGGAGACUGGAAUUUACGGUGUAGCAGUGAAAUGCGUAGAUAUCGUAAGGAACGCCAGUGGCGAAAGCGAGUCUCUGGGCAGCAUCUGACACUGAGGCACGAAGGCCAGGGAGCAAACGGG